AAACUCGGAAUGGUCAUAUAAAAAAACCUACAAUGUUAGAAGAUUAUAUGUUAACUUCUCUAGAUGUACUUUGUUUUACAUGUAUGCGUCAUUAGGUUACUGUUUUGUUGGUGUUUAUUUGAAAUCUAAUUAUCAUAUUCAUGUAAAAAUGUAAGUGCAGUACACAUUCAAAAUACGUCAGUGCAAUUUGCCAUAUCCAUACCUAUUGCUAAAGAUACAGUGAAUUUUGAGGACAUGAUCAGAAAGAUUGAUGAUUUUCGUACUUUCUUAAUGAUUUGUAAAAUAUCGAUGUAAUUAAGAACCUACAAAAGUCUAUACAUGUAGAAAAUUAAG
This 333-nucleotide long non-coding RNA is filed under the name Mytilus galloprovincialis (Mediterranean mussel). Lineage: Eukaryota; Metazoa; Mollusca; Bivalvia; Mytilida; Mytilidae. The record is from RNAcentral.